UGCUGCUGAGAGCCAACAAGCAAUUCCACUGGGUUGUACAAAUGUCAUCACUUGAUACCUAUUUCCAUAUUGUUCAUUUUUACUACAAAGCCAUCUUUUAAAAGUAAAAGCCCAAUUCAUAACUCAUAUAUGUAAAAAUUAAAUUAGUAUCUAGUAAUAAAAGUAUUAUAUUUUAUGAGGUUUAUUAAGGA
RNAcentral lists this long non-coding RNA (191 nucleotides) under Monodelphis domestica (gray short-tailed opossum). Its description in RNAcentral is "lncRNA (ENSMODG00000045073.1)". Lineage: Eukaryota; Metazoa; Chordata; Mammalia; Didelphimorphia; Didelphidae. The record is from RNAcentral.